CCCGCACAAGCGGUGGAGCAUGUGGUUAAUUCGACGCAACGCGAAGAACCUUACCAGGGCUUGACAUCCCCUGACCGCGUAUGAAAGUACGUUUUCACCCUCGGGUGACAGGGAGACAGGUGGUGCAUGGUUGUCGUCAGCUCGUGUCGUGAGAUGUUGGGUUAAGUCCCGCAACGAGCGCAACCCCUACGUUUAGUUGCUAACGCGUGAAGGCGAGCACUCUAGACGAACUGCCGUUGACAAAACGGAGGAAGGUGGGGAUGACGUCAAAUCAUCAUGCCCCUUAUGUUCUGGGCUACACACGUGCUACAAUGGCCGGUACAGACGGACGCAAAGCCGCGAGGUGGAGCAAAUCCUAAAAAGCCGGUCUCAGUUCGGAUUGCAGGCUGCAAUUCGCCUGCAUGAAGUCGGAAUCGCUAGUAAUCGCAGGUCAGCAUACUGCGGUGAAUACGUUCCCGGGCCUU
RNAcentral lists this ribosomal RNA (464 nucleotides) under uncultured Pelotomaculum sp. RNAcentral's name for it is "bacterial SSU rRNA". It matches the Rfam family "Bacterial small subunit ribosomal RNA", at positions 920 to 1382 of the family's 1533-position model. Lineage: Bacteria; Bacillati; Bacillota; Clostridia; Eubacteriales; Desulfotomaculaceae. The record is from RNAcentral.